UGUGCGCAGUGGCCGCGCGUGUGUGAGAGCAAAAAGCAGAGAAAGAGCCGGAGAGGGGCAGCGGGACCCUCCUUCUGCCCGCCGAGCCUUCACAUCUCCGGGCGGCUGAACUUUGCCCCGUCGCUCCGCUCCGGACCUGUUAGAGGCCCUCCGCCGGGGAACCGGCAACUUUCCGCCCAGACACGAACAACAUCUCCGGCAACAACACAAAAGUCCCGUUAGGAGGCGGCGGAGUCACGGGGGGGAGUCAGUGCUGGGGGCGGCCGGCGGACGGUGCGGAGCUCCGAAACGUCCCGAAACUGCAUCUCAGAGCGCCGGAGAGCCGCGGGGACCGGCGGACCUCGGCAACAUGUCUGUCCGUCCCGCGGUGCGCUGUGGCCGGCGUGCGGCGGUGCGGCUCCUCGCUGCUCGGGACGGAGGAGGGCGGUGCAGCCGCAGCGUGUCGGCGGAGUCCCGGAAAGAAGCUCCGUGAGGAAGGAACGACAGAGCGGAUCCUCAGCUGGCAGACGGCCGCCUCGCCUCUAAAACCACCGACAGCUGCUUUCCGUUAAUUUAUCUCGGCGGGAGGAGACGGAGGAGAGAGAGGGAGGAGAGAGAGUCGGUGUGUCCCGCACGGAGCGCCUCCUCCUCCGCUCCGCUGCUGCUGCUGCUGCUGCCGGACUUCAGAGCUCCGCCGCCGGACUGCGUCGCUGAGACUGAACGAUCUGACCGCUGAUCAGCUGAUCACUCUGCCAUCGAUCCGCCGCGCGCACUUUCACAAGUACAACCCGCUGAUGCCGCUGCGCGUGCGUGCAUGUCCGCGCACGUGUGUGUGUGUGUCUGUGGUGUGUGUGUGUGUGUGUGUGUGUGUGUGUGUGUGUGUGUGUGUGUGUGUGUGUGUGUGUGUGUGUGUUUAUUGAUCAGCAUCGAUCCGAUCAGACUCUGGGAAUUAAUCUCAGAUUCUCCAGAACUUCUGCUAACUUUGGACCGGAACUCUCCGCCUCCAGUCCGUUUCCUGAUCCUGGAUGAACUUUACGUGGAUCCUUCAGACUGAAGCGGCUUCAGGACCAGAACCAGACCUCCUGUUUCCAUUUAUACUGUAUGUUCAUAAACAAAUCCAUAAAUAUCGUGGAUCUUCAACUUACAUUGGAAUUCCGUUUCUACGGCGCGACGUAUUGCUGAUUUUCGCGGUAAGUCAGAACUCGUGUACAGUACAUAAGUACCUAGUCACUAACACAGAGGUUAAAGUCAUAAUCUGAACCGUCUACCGUCGCACAGUGACGUACCAUGACGUAUCCAUCCACUCCACUUGCCAAUAGUUCCCGUACGAAAUUUGUUUCAACGCUGAAAAAGCCCGUAAGUCAGAAUGAUGGAACAAGACUUACUGGAAAAAAUUAUGGGAGACGGAGACGAAACCAAUGAAACGCUGUAGAUCAGGGAGCUGCUGCACUGUUCAACUUUUUUACUAAUGUGAGGGAUACAGCUAUAAUAUUUCUGUAUUUUGAAAUGUAUGUGAAAACUAACACUUUAAUUUUUUUUUUAGGUUUGUUGCACUUUUAAGUAAUUUGCUGUAGUAGUUCAGACAUAAGUCAAUAUACAUUAUUAAAACUUGGGAUAUAAGGUUGUAUUGCUGGAAAGAAAAUUAAAAUACGCCAAGAAAUUCCACUACAGGAUGUAAAAAUUUGAGAAUAUGUCCUGGAGGGUCAGCACAAUGUUAGGUCUGAAAGGGUUAAUCUGGUGCUCUAGAAUUUAAAUAAAUGAUUAGACUUAGUAUGUGACUGUUCAGAGGUUUGUCAUAAUCCAGAUAUUCCCCCAUCAUUCCUCUUUUCAGCUCUUUUUCUUUCUGUUUCUGCUGCUCUUCUUUUUGAAUUACUUUUCUUUAAUCUGAUUUUUUCUGUUCAUUUCUCUUCUUCUUCUUCUUUUUGCUGCCCUCAUGUUUGUUUCUAGAGUCAAGUGUUUUGAUGCAGAUGAAGGGAAAUAUUGAACAUUCUGACCAUAUAAACCGGAGUUCUCCUCUCCGAGCAGCAGAGAUGGUUUCUUUAGCUAACGAGGAUUCAGAUCCGUCUCCUCCUGCCUCUGACCUGCUCCUGGUUGGAGGCCCGGCUCUGCUGCGGAGGUCCAGGCUGGCAGCAGCUCGGUGGGAGCAGGUGGAGCCUCCAUCCCCAUCCAUCGCUGGUACCGCAGACCCACAUCAGCCGUCUCCAUGGCGACGCCCAGCUCCAGUUUUUGAGUUUCACCUCACGUGUGAUUGGCCGGCGGGCCGGCGUCUCCCGUGACAACUCGAACUCGCCGUUUGUUUCUGCAUCGGACUGACUCAUUUUUAUUUAUACCUGCUUAGAUUCAGGAGGUGUAUUUAUUUAAAACUUUCCUCGGAA
This is a long non-coding RNA of Acanthochromis polyacanthus (spiny chromis), 2354 nucleotides long. RefSeq lists it as uncharacterized. The transcript has 2 exons. NCBI's taxonomy places the organism in Eukaryota, Metazoa, Chordata, Actinopteri, Pomacentridae. The record is from RefSeq and is a predicted model, not a curated record.